Long non-coding RNA from Phyllostomus discolor (pale spear-nosed bat), 147 nucleotides. RefSeq lists it as uncharacterized. The transcript has 3 exons. NCBI's taxonomy places the organism in Eukaryota, Metazoa, Chordata, Mammalia, Chiroptera, Phyllostomidae. The record is from RefSeq and is a predicted model, not a curated record.
AAGCUUCAGGUGCCUAGCAAUGGGCAAAACUAGGAAAACAAAGACUUUGCCCACAAGGUAACCUUUCUUCCCCUAGCAUAUUGCUGUUCCUGUGGUUUAGACCCCCUGACCUUUCAUAUCACCAGUCAUCCACACAGACCUUCCCUG